Molecule: non-coding RNA, 305 nt
Organism: Pelobates cultripes (western spadefoot toad)
Lineage: Eukaryota; Metazoa; Chordata; Amphibia; Anura; Pelobatidae
Source: the annotation of a GenBank genome assembly
GGUCGAUACAUCUUCGUAUACCUGGCAUAUCUCACCGGUCACUGUUGGGAUUGUCGUUACACAAUGUUCCUGCAUCGUUGUAUCCACAAUCAGCCCCAAAUCUGUUUGGCUAAAAAUGUCCUUAAAUACUGUCUUUAGCAGUUCCAUUGCAAUUUGAUUAAGUGAUAGAUGAGAUACACCGAGUCCUCGGUUUAUCCUUUCCUGAAUGAUACACUGUUUUUCUGUAAAUAAUAUUUCAAACUGUAUGCCUGGAAAUACUGAAUUUUGAUGUCAAUAUAUCAGUCUUGGAAAAGUUUUUUUUUUUU